UACGGGGGGAGCAAGCGUUGUUCGGAUUUACUGGGCGUAAAGGGCGCGUAGGCGGUCGUGACAAGUCACUUGUGAAAUCUCCGGGCUUAACUCGGAACGGUCAAGUGAUACUGUCGGACUAGAGUACAGAAGGGGCAACUGGAAUUCUCGGUGUAGCGUGAAAUGCGUAGAUAUCGAGAGGAACACCUGCGGCGAAGGCGGGUUGCUGGGCUGAUACUGACGCUGAGGCGCGAAAGCCAGGGGAGCGAACGGG
Molecule: ribosomal RNA, 253 nt
Filed under: uncultured bacterium
Lineage: Bacteria
Description: partial 16S ribosomal RNA
Rfam family: Bacterial small subunit ribosomal RNA
Source: RNAcentral